CGCCCGUCCAAAAAGACGCUUGAACGCCAGUCAGACGCGCUGUAUCAUAGUAAAACAAUUGUUUUACUGGCGUCGCGCUUCUAGGGUUUCAUCUCUGUGUGAUCGCCCCCUACGUCUCGAGCGCCGGUGACUUUUUGGAAGUCAUUUCAGUAUUUCUAUAAGAGUAUCAUUUACAUUUCCUGCCAAUGACAAUUCACUGUCCUGCAGUUGCAGACACUUUCGGUACCGUUUCAUCACAUAUUUUAUGAAGUAGCCUCCUUUAUUCAUGGUUAUGAUGAUGUCGCUCGUAAUUAACACCCCCUCUUCUUUCACUCUAACGUGCCUGUGGCUAGAUAGGAAAACCCACUGAACUAGUUGAUAACAAGCUUUAUAGCACUGGUUAUCCAGAUGGCCAAUGUUAGAGUUAGUCAAGCCAGAUAACAAAAAGAUAUCCUGGGUAAGUUAAACUGGCUUUGUAGGACAGGGCUCUGCUCUGGACAGUAAAUGUGUGUUGGUGUUUGUAUGUGGAGACCAAGAACCUUACCACCUGUUCUUAUAGGCAGAAAUCCCAGGGGUGGAUGGGGGGGUCUGGACUCCCCCUUCUUAGGAAAAACGGGGAAUUGUCAGCCCCAAUAUAUAUCAUUUAAGGAAACUAUGCAAUUCUGAACUUUAUAAUAAUAUACAAUAGUUUGGUCCGUGUCCGCAUAUACUGGCACACAGCAGCACUCGGCAGGACUGAUUGUGAUCAGUGGAAUUGUGUCAGAGGAAACUGAGCUCCACUAAGUAACUACUUUGCAAAAGUUCACUUAAAAUAAGAGACAUGUCAGACAUCUAUAUUUACUGCUACUUUUCAACAGAAUAAAACACGUUACCAGUUGUAACCAGACAGCAUUUUGUUCACUUCAUUCGACAGUGUUGCCCCCGUGUGGAAAUGGGUGUAGGUAGUUAUGAGUAUCGGAAAAAAUGUAUUUCUACUCUAGGAGAACUGUUCAGUGUCAGGGAUAGUGGUGGAACGGUCAGGGCCAGGGACGGAGCCUUAGACUUCAAAUGCCAGCACAACUGACCAGGGCACAGCAGAGCAGGAGGAGCCUAUUGCCAGCACCAGCACAUUAUACAGGGGCACUGAGUCUCAGGCAAACGCUGCAGUCUACUAUAACAGUUUGACCAAUAGAACACUAAGAUUUCGAGGGAGGGCCGUCGUUGGCCUAUCGGAUUUAGCUACAUCGAGCACAGCUGUUCAACGGAGGAAUUGGCAGAUGGACACGAUGGAGACAAGUAAGUAACGUUAUUAUAUUAUUAAAAAAAUGUUUGCAACUUGAUUGUUUUGUACAGUAUUGAGUUCAAACAUAUGGUGACGUUUUACAAGUGUAAAAGUAACGUUAGCGUUAGCUUUUGCAAAAAGUGCUCGCUAGCAGCUUCACGCACUUCACGGGUAAAGUGAAGUUGAAGUGGCUUGCAUCUUAUUUCUCAUUGGGUUACGUUAGGUCUCUUAAGUCCUUGUGGUAGAAAUAACCAGGAUUGCACGUUUAUUAGAGUAUCUGCUGACAUACAUCACUGAGUCUCAUAAACCAAGCAAACACGCUAUGAUGAUGUGUUAACAAUGUUGUCAUUUAAUCAUUGUUUCCUCACAUAACCUCCAUGGAAACAGCAGAAGAGAGCUAACAGCUAAACGAAAAAAAGUAAGGUUUUUGAAAAGUGCUUGAACUGAUUGUAAAUCACGUGUAGCAUUAGAGAGUUUGUAACAAAGAAACAAAGCAUAACAUAUACAUUAUAUAGAAAGCUACAUCAUUUUUUUCCCUCCUGCAGGAGUCAUCACACACACCACUGCCUACUCAAAGGAUGAAGCCAUAUGGGCCUAGUCUUCUUCAAAAGGCCCAUUAUCACAAUUUGUGCAUUGACACAGGUUUGUACAUGGCAGCUCAUGCAGUUUACAUGUGCAUCUGCCCUUAACACAGUUGGAUUUUUUUACAGGCGUAAUGCACAAGCUCCAGUAUCGCCUCUGGUGCUGGGGGGAGUGUCAUCCAUUCUACCUUGUACAAAUCUCCUAAUAAUAUUUAAUGACUUCUGUACUGUGAACUUAAAAUGUCCCUGCUUUUCAUUUCAGAAAUCUGAUCACCUUAUCUGAGAUGAAAUGGAAAUAACAACUGCGUGUUUUCCCUGGCUGUUUUUAAUUAAUGUAGUUUGUGAAUGUUACUGAGCACUUUAUUGGACUUCAGAAGUAAUGUGAAUGAGUGAGGGGCUUAAUUUAAGUUGCAAUUUUCUUCAUCUCAACAGUGUUCACUGCAGCUAGAUGGGCAAAUGACUCCCUCCUGUGAUGGAAUCAAGUGGAUUCAGCGUUCAAGAUUCAGAUUUGAAAUUCAAGAUCCACAUUUACAGUUUCACACUGCAUGUUUGAUACCAACCUUCUGUUCCAUUUUCCUUUUGAAUUAAAGCUUCCUUUUCUCUUCUGGGCUC
Molecule: long non-coding RNA, 2433 nt
Organism: Epinephelus moara (kelp grouper)
Lineage: Eukaryota; Metazoa; Chordata; Actinopteri; Perciformes; Serranidae
Exons: 3
Source: RefSeq, a predicted model, not a curated record